RNAcentral lists this long non-coding RNA (4733 nucleotides) under Lathyrus oleraceus (garden pea). Its description in RNAcentral is "Pisum sativum (pea) long non-coding RNA (PSAT_LNC011334)". Lineage: Eukaryota; Viridiplantae; Streptophyta; Magnoliopsida; Fabales; Fabaceae. The record is from RNAcentral.
UUUUGUUGCAGAAUUGAUAGUUUUUUUUGGAAUAAUUAGUAGUCAAAAAUAUCUUUUCAUGAUGAAAAUACUAAUUACUUUUGUAACAGCAAUUGGAAUGAUAUUAACUUCGAUUUAUUUAUUAUCAAUCGUACGGCAGAUGUUCUAUGGAUAUAAGUUUUUGAAUACACCAAACUCUUAUUUUUUUGAUUCUGGGCCCAGAGAAUUAUUUAUUUCUAUUUCUAUCCUUAUACCCAUAAUAGGUAUUGGUGUUUACCCCGAUUUCAUUUUCUCAUUUUCGGUUGACAAGGUUGAAGCUAUUCUAUCUCAUUUUUGAUGGAUUAAAAAAAAAACACAUUGUGAAUACUUUUUCUAGUUUCAUAUUAUUCAUAAUGUUCAUGCACAUUUACAAUUAAUUCAAAAUAGAUCACAAUAGGAGGAUCGAAUGGACAACAUUAUCACGACGCUACGAAGAAUCAAAAUAAAAACAAUAGGAGCAAUAGGAAGAAUCAGAAGAAAAUUAAACAAAAUUCAGAAUUUUAUGAGUCCUAUUAAAUUCUCGCGAUUCUAUAUUCUUUGGUUCUUUAUUAAGCUAUUUUUUUAUAUUCGUAUGCAAACUGUAUCUAUGUUGUUAUUAAUUUUGCAUUAUUUUUUUCUCCUUCUUUCUGACUGGUUAAGAUUAAUAGGAACAAUUAGAAUCUUUUUCAUUUCGAUUUUGAUUUCCCUUUUGAUUUCAAUUUUCAUUUCAAUUCAUAAUUUUCUAGGAGCUCAAAGCAAAAACAUUCAUAAUUUUCUAGCAGCUCAAAUCAAAAAAAUUGAGAAUUUUCUAGGAGUUCAAAUCAAAAAAAUUCAGAAGGUUCUAAGAGGAAUCAGAAAAAUAAUGAAAAUACUUCUUCAUUUUAUGCGUUCUUUUCACUUCUGGCAAUUCUAUCUUCUUUGGUUGGUUCUUCAUUAAGGCAUUCGUCUAUAGUAUUCUCGUAAAAUCUAAAUAUGGCUUGUUCGUGCUUUGUCAUUUUCUUUUUGUCCUUAUUUUGGAAUUAUACCUUAUUUUUGCACUAUAUUUUGGUUUGCUAUUUGGCUAUUUUCUUUGUUCUGAUUGUCAGCUACUUUGUGUCAAAAUAAGGACACGGUAUUUUGUGAAUUUAUUCUUAUCUUAUCUUCUUUUCUGCUGUUCGUUUUGUUUUUUCUUUUUCCAAGGUUCUUAUCUUAUAGAGAUAGUCAAUAGAGUUAAGGUUAGUCAAUGCUAGUCACUUGACUAACCGUAAUUCUUAAGAUAGUAUAUAAAUAUACUCAGGUAUUAGGAAAAUCCAUUUAACAAAAUCAUGUAUGUAUAUAUAAAUAAUAAGAUGAAUGGAAAUAAAAGGAAACAAAAUAUUAUGCUAAUGGAAAAUCCAUUUAACAAAAUCAUGUAUGUAUAUAUAAAUGAUAAGAUGAAUGGAAAUAAAAGGAAAUAAAAUAUUUUGCUAAUAUUAGCAAAAUGCAUUUAAAAAAAUCAUGUAUAUAUAAAUGAUAAGAUCCAUUGAAAUAAAAGGAAAUAAAAUAUUAUGCUAAAAAACUUUCGUAUCUGGCUAGGAGGAAUCAGAAGAAAAUUAAACAAAAUUUUGAAUUCUAUUAAUUCUAUUAGAUUCUUCAGAUUCUUGCGAUCCUAUGUUCUUUGGUUGUUCAUUAAGUUAGUAGUGUUUCGUUUUACAAAAUCACUUAUAAACUCCAGCUCCAGAAUGCUUUAUAUAAAAUAUUAUUCUUUGUUUUUGAAUAACAAUUAUUAUAUAAUUCUUUAUGAAUUGGCCAUUCUUCUUUUAAUUUGUCUAUGUAUGUGUAUUUACAUUUUUUUCCGAGUUCUUUUUGUUGACUAGUUUGAAAAUAAAGACAUAGUCCAGUAGGAUAAGAUAUAAUUAAUAUGUAAUGAAGAUACUGUUUUGAUUUUUUAACCAAAAUCGAGUUUGUUCGUGGGGGAGAUUUCUAUUGGCAUGCAUCCAGUAGGAAUUGAACCUACGACUUCUCCAAUUAUGAGUUGGGCGCUUUAACCAUUCAGCCAUGGAUGCUUCGAGGGAACCCUCCGACUUCAUCACUAACCAAAUUUCAAUUGAAGUGAAAUCUUUUGGAUAAAUCAAUAUAAAUACAUUAAUAUAUAUAAAUAAAUAUAGAAAAAAAAGAAAUAGAAAAAAAAAAAAGAAAUAGAUCAAUUUGUAAAAAUGGAGUAUCCUAUCUUAUGAAGAAGAAUGAAGUAGACAUUUGGAUUUUAGAAUUGAGAGAAAUUUUUAGAGAGAGCAAGAAUUCUGCCUAUUUCUCAGAUUCCUGGACCCAAUUCAAUUCAGCGAUAUCUGUGAUUCACAUUUUUUUCCAUCAAGAGAGUUUGAUAAAACUCUUAGACUCCAGAAUUUGGAGUAUCCUAGUUUCACGCGGUUUAACAAGAUAUUUCACGAUCAAGAAUCUAGUACUUUUUGUAGUAGCGAUCCUUAUAUAUCGUAUUAACAAUCGAAGGAUGAUCGAAAAAAAAAAUAUUUAUUUGACAGGGCUUCUUCCGAUCCAAAUGAAUUCCAUUGGAUCCACAUUGGAAGACUCAAAAGAUUCCAAUAGGUUGGUUCUGAAUGGGUUUAUUGUUCCGCUCCUGUCUGGUCCAAAAGAAAAAAAUAUCUCUGAGAGAGAUAAUUGCUCUUUUUUGGCGGACAUAUGGUCAGAACGUCAUCUGCUGGAUUUGAAUCCUACUGAGAAGUCCGCUCGAGAUCCUAAAUUAUUUCAGAAAGAAGAUGUUUCUUUUGUUCUUUCGAGGCAAUCGGAAAAUAAAGAAAUAGCCAAUAUCGUGAAUAUAAUCAUGUAUUUACAAAAUAAUGUCUCAAUUCAUCCUAUUUCAUCCGAUCGAGGAUGUGAUAGGAUUGCAAAGGAUAAACUUUUUACAGUUCAAAAUCAUAUUUUAUUCUUGAACCAAAAUCUAGUUUCAGAAGAGAGAUUUCAAGAAAUGGCAAAUCUAUUCAAUCUCUCAAUAACUAAGCCGGAUCUGGUGUAUCGUAAUGGAUUCUCUUUUUCNCAACGGAAUAAGAAACAAAAUUCAUCAAGAAUCUAAAUAUUUUUAUUCUUUAUUUAUUUUUUUGUAUGGAAUAUACACAUCCACUUCAUGGAUCAUACCUUUCAUCCCUCUUCCAGUUCCUAUUUUAAUAGGGGUAGGACUUCACUUUUUCCCACGGCAACAAAAAAUAUUCGCCGUAUGUGGGCUUUUCCUAGUAUUUUAUUGUUAACCGUAGUUAUGAUUUUUUCGACGAUUUAUCUAUUCAUCAAAUCGAGAAUAGUUCUACCUAUCAAUAUGUAUGGUCUUGGCUAUAAAUAAUGAUCUUUCUUUAGAGUUUGGCUACUUGAUCGAUUCACUUACUUCUAUUAUGUCAAUAUUAAUCACUACUGUUGGUAUUCUGGUUCUCAUUAUAGUGAUAGUUAUAUGGCUCAGAUCAAGGCUAUUUGAGAUUUUUUACUUAUAUGAGUUUUUUAAUACUUCAAUGUUAGGAUUAGUUACUAGUUCAAAUUUGAUACAAGUUUAUAUUUUUUGGGAAUUGGUUGGAAUGUGUUCUUAUCUAUUAAUAGGUUUUGGUUCAACGUCCUAUUGCGGCAAAUGCUUGUCAAAAAGCGGUUGUAACGAAUCGUGUAGGGGACUUUGGUUUAUUAUUAGGAAUUUUAGGUUUUUAGUGACUGACGGAGAAUUAUAAAUGGAUCCAUUUUUUUGAUUUUGACUGGAGAUUAGGAAUAGAUGGACUCUCUAUAGGACCCAUUUUACUAACAGGAUUUAUAACUACUUUAGCCACUUUAGCGGCUCAAUCGGUUACUCGAGAAUACCAAUUAUUCUAUUUGCUGAUGUUAGCAAUGUAUAGCGGUCGAAUAAGACCAUUUUCUUCUGGAGACAUUUUACUUUUUUUCAUCAUGUGGGAAUUGGAAUUAAUCCACGUUUAUCUACUUUUAUCAAUCUAGGGGGGAAAGAAACGUUUCUACUCUGCUACUAAGUUUAUUUUGUACACUGCAGGAGCUUCUAUUUUUUUAUUAAUGGGGAUUUAUGGGUAUCAAUUUAUAUGGCUCUAAUAAACCAACAUUUAAUUUUGAAACAUUAAUUAAUCGAUUGUAUCCCGCGACACUAGAAAUAAUAUUCUAUACAACAUUUCUUAUUUCUUUUGCUGUCAAAUUGCCAAUUAUACCCUUACAGACAUGGUUACCAGAUACCCAUGGAGAGGCACAUUACAACACUUGUAUGCUUUUAGCCGGCAUAUUAUUAAAACUGGGAGCAUAUGGGUUGGUUCGAAUUAAUAUGGAAUUGGUUUCCCACGCUCAUUUGAUAUUUUGCCCCUGGUUAAUGAUAUUAGGUUCUAUUCAAAUAAUCUAUGUCGCUUCAACAUCUUUUGGUCAACAUAAUCUAAAAAAAAGAAUAAAUUAUUCUUCGGUAUCUCAUAUGGGUUUUCUAAUUAUAGGAAUUGGUUCCAUAAGUGAUACUGGUCUCAACAGGGCCAUUUUACAAAUCAUAUCUCAUGGAUCUAUUGGCGCUGCACUUUUUUUCUUGGCAGGAACUAGUUAUGAUAGAGUGCAUCUUCUUUAUCUUGACGAAAUGGGGGGAAUGGCUAUCCCAAUGCCAAAAAUAUUCACAAUUUUUUACUAUCUUAUCAAUGGCUUCUCUUGCAUUGCCUGACAUGAGUGGUUUUGUUGCAGAAUUGAUAGUUUUUUUUUGGAAUAAUUAGUAGUCAAAAAUAUCUUUUCAUGAUGAAAAUACUAAUUACUUUUGUAAC